CAAAACGCGCACGGGCCCGCGUUGCGGGCCCGACUCAGAUUUUUUUUCUUUUUCUUAAAAACUCAGCCCACACACACGGAAUUGGGCCUGUUUUUAAAAUGGAUGCUCGGCCCGCGCGAACAGAAACAACCCAGGCAGAAACCCUACCCGGCCGCCGACCCGGAUCCGCCCGACUUCGACCCGUCUUCCCCUUUGCCGACCCGGCUUGCUGGAGUUCGCGAGAUCUGGCGAUCCGCGACGCUAAUGAGGGACGGAGGGGGUCAAACGAACAGCAGCCCGGCGUCCGAAGGUGGCGGCGUCGCAGCCGGCAACCGGCCGCUCAACUGGAUCGACGACGGGGCUCGUGGCGCGGCGGUAAGAGACGCGA
Molecule: long non-coding RNA, 367 nt
Filed under: Eucalyptus grandis
Lineage: Eukaryota; Viridiplantae; Streptophyta; Magnoliopsida; Myrtales; Myrtaceae
Description: long non-coding RNA (EGRA_LNC003974)
Source: RNAcentral